GGGUGCGAUCAUACCAGCACUAAUGCGCUGGAUCCCAUCAGAACUCCGCAGUUAAGCUCGCUUUGUCGAGAAUAGUACUAGGAUGGGUGACCUCCUGGGAAGUCCUCGUGUUGCACCUC
RNAcentral lists this ribosomal RNA (119 nucleotides) under Gossypium arboreum. The record is from RNAcentral. Lineage: Eukaryota; Viridiplantae; Streptophyta; Magnoliopsida; Malvales; Malvaceae.